AUGGAGCCGGGAGACCGGGGGAGGGGGAAGAUCCCUCCAGCCCCUCCACCAGAGCCCGCGGGCAGUGCGCCUGGGAGGUCAGAGCUGGCAGGUGGGCGGAUAAGCGGGGGGACAGGCAGGGCCCUGCGUACCAUGGUGCCGUGGCGCUGGGGGCUCACAGGGCCCCGCGGGAUCGCGCUGCCCCCGGCGGCCAGGCCGGGGCCGCUCCAUGAAGCGCCGCGCUGGGGGCCGCCCCCGCGCAGGGCCCCGCGACCAUGGCCCCCGGGGGCGCGGCCGGGCAGGCGGAGGCGCAGGGCCGCGGCGAGUCCAGCGCCGAGCAGCUGCGGCCCCAGAGCCUCGGGCGCGGCGGGCGGGGGGCGCGGGGCGCCGAUUGGAGCCCGCGCGUCAGCUGGGGCCGCCGUCUGGACGCUUAAAGGGCCAGGCCGCCUGCGUGCCGGCGGGGGGCGCGGACACGCGUGGUGUGCGCCGUCCCCUUGCAGCCCGCCCUGCUGCAGGCUGCCCUCCACCCCUCAGCCCCUGCUCCAGCCCCCAGCCCGUCCCCACUGCUCAUAUCCGAGCAGAUGGACCCCGGCCCCACCCUCCCGUGCUGAGCCUCCUUUCUGCCGGGAAGUUCGUCCGGGAGUCAAACAUCGGUGCCCUCCGGUUGCGCCACGGAGGGGAAGCUGCCGUGAAAUCAGGAAGCUGAGAGCGCCGGGCCCCGGAUCCGAUCAGAAAAGGCUUCCACCCGCUUCCCUGAGCGAUCCCACGCUGAUCCUACUGAACCCCGCACCCCAGCCGCGCUCACCACCCCCACCCUCUUGCCUGGGCUGUUCUGACCUGGGGGUAUCUACCCUCAGUGCUGGAGUGUCCCCAGGCUUGGUUGGGGAAACCAGAUUCAACCCCACUGAAGUUGGAAAGAACAGCCCAGGUUGUGGGUCUCUUUUGCAGCUUCCAGGAUCCUCUCCUGCCCUGUUAGUUCUGGGGGCCUUGGGCCUCUCCCUAGUGAUUGAGCCUGGCCCCAGACAUGAACCCUCUGGGACUCCUUCACUUCUAGAGGCACCACCUCAGGGACCACCAUCUCUGAACCACUGAU
Molecule: long non-coding RNA, 1072 nt
Filed under: Macaca mulatta (Rhesus monkey)
Lineage: Eukaryota; Metazoa; Chordata; Mammalia; Primates; Cercopithecidae
Description: lncRNA (ENSMMUG00000050407.1)
Source: RNAcentral